RNAcentral lists this ribosomal RNA (253 nucleotides) under uncultured bacterium. RNAcentral's name for it is "partial 16S ribosomal RNA". It matches the Rfam family "Bacterial small subunit ribosomal RNA", at positions 524 to 776 of the family's 1533-position model. The record is from RNAcentral.
UACGGAGGGGGCAAGCGUUAUUCGGAAUUAUUGGGCGUAAAGGGCGCGUAGGCGGCUUGACAAGUCAAAGGUGAAAUCCCUCGGCUCAACCGAGGAAUUGCCCUUGAAACUGCAGGGCUUGAGGCCGGGAGGGGGUAGCGGAAUUCCCAGUGUAGCGGUGAAAUGCGUAGAUACUGGGAGGAACACCGGUGGCGAAGGCGGCUACCUGGACCGGUUCUGACACUGAUGCGCGAAAGCGUGGGUAGCAAACAGG